This 120-nucleotide ribosomal RNA is filed under the name uncultured bacterium. Its description in RNAcentral is "partial 16S ribosomal RNA". It matches the Rfam family "Bacterial small subunit ribosomal RNA", at positions 29 to 147 of the family's 1533-position model. The record is from RNAcentral.
AACGAACGCUGGCGGCGUGCCUAAGACAUGCAAGUCGUGCGAGAAAGGGGCUUCGGCCCUGAGUACAGCGGCAUCCGGGUGAGUAACGCGUGGGUAACCUACCUCGAAGUCUGGGAUAAC